Long non-coding RNA from Macrobrachium nipponense, 2375 nucleotides. RefSeq lists it as uncharacterized. The transcript has 4 exons. NCBI's taxonomy places the organism in Eukaryota, Metazoa, Arthropoda, Malacostraca, Decapoda, Palaemonidae. The record is from RefSeq and is a predicted model, not a curated record.
UAUUAUUAUUAUUAUUAUUACAAGCAUGUUGGUGCAUGCUACGUGCACUGGAACUAGGCGUUGCUGUUUGCAGGAGGUGGGUGGAUGUCUCCCCUACCCUUCUGCUCUCUAGCUACCCCACCUCCACCCAGUGGACAAAUCAGCUUGCAGGGGGAGGGUAGGUGUGUAAUGUCUCUCUCCCCCAUUGUCACUUGAAUUUUUCUAUAUUUUGGGUAAGUAACAAGGUCCAUUAAGUAUCACCAGUUUUAUAAGGCACUAAUCUAAUGUAACUUGCACUUAAUACUUAAUGUUCACAUUAAGAGAUUUACGUACUUAAAAAUGUACCAUAUCUGGAGUGGUUGCAUGUUGAGAAUAUUGUUUUCUGUGAUGCAAGAUUAAUUUGAUCAAUUAUUACACUUUUUUUCCUUCUUUCAGAUCCAUGUCUUGGUGUUGAUGCCGAGACUACAUUGGGGUCAAGGCUUUGUCCAGAAUGGAAGAUUUUCCCAGCCAGGGUCUAAUGGCUGUACUCUCAUUUACCUGGUACUUAGUAGUACCUGAAAUUGCUUCUGUUUGGAAGUCCCUAGUCUGCGGACGUCACUAGACAAAGGAAAUGGAUGCUGUUUAUGGGUUUCACUUCUGGACAGAGCAGCUUAACGUUUCAAAUUUUAUAACGAUUCAUCAUCAUAUGGCUAGUUAAUGCUAGAUGGAUAUUCUAACAGUUCCUGCCACAAUAAAAGUACUAUAUGUGCAGGUCUUUGGAUAUGAUUACAUCUACAGCAUUUUUGGAGGUUUACCAUACAGAGUUACUUAGGACUCAAGAACAAUUUUGAAUUAUCAAGAUAUGCAUUUUAACGUCCAUCUUCUGAUUGGAUGAGCAGACUCAGCUUGAGGAUUGAAAAGGAUAUUGGACAGUACAUAUCACUCUUCUGUCCCUUCACUGAAUUACGAUAUUAGUAUCAGCAGCGGGAUUGUCAGUGUCGUUCCCUAGCGCAAAACAUGAGGCAGGUGAUUGAUCAUCUCCCAAUUAAAACAUCCAUGAUUUUUCUUUUGCUAUCACUGUCUCCCACACUCCAGUGACAAGGCCUUGACUGGGACAAUAUGCUAAUGCUUGGGUGGUUUAUAAUUGACCACUCAUUGUUUUCUACUCGGUCAGUCCAGUCAUACAGAUCUUUAAUAAUUAGUUCAUGUAUACUCCACUGUAGUAGUAUCUUCCUUCUCCAAAAAAUAGUAUCCUACCAUCCUCCUUCCAUAAUUGCUUCAUUCCCAACUCAGUGCAUAUACUAUAAAAUAUUGGGUAAAAUACUAUGUGUAGAAUUCUGUAUCUCUUCAUAGUCAUGACACUUUCUCCAAGACCCCUGGUUUUGUUGUGGCUAACAAGAAGUGUAUGUAUUUCAUAACAUCUUUUAGUAUCUCAGGUUAUUCAUGUUAAAUUGCAAUUGAUGGCCUUUGUGGUUUCAUUCAACUAUUUGACAUCUGAAAGAGUCGUGUAGGCUGUUGUCACUUGCAAAAUGACAAUGUAACUACGCUUCUUUAGUUUCACCCUAUAGGUCAAGUUACAUUUUCUUCAGAGUUAGUUAAUUUCAAUGAAUAGCAUCUUUAAAAGCUUAUGUCGUCAAAGGGAUGGAUACUCUACAUUCACCAUUAAUUACUUUGGCUUUUCUUUGUUUCAUUUGAAAUUCACAUCACGAUCGAUAGUAUUUACCCAUUCGUCCAAAAUUGAGAAGAACAUCCAGAUGCUGUCAUGCCUGUCACUAUCUUCUUACUAUUCGCAUCACUCAGCUGCUUCUUCAAGGAUACUACUUCCUUACUCGAGCAACAACUUUUUCUUUUGACUUGAUUAUGACACUUUGACACUUGUGUAAUGUUUUGUUACAACAUUCAGUAAUGCUGGCUAUUAAUUAGUCCUGUGCUCAAAGCCUGUCUAUAUAUAUAUGGCUUACGAAAAGCCAUUACGUAUAUUGUGCAAAGAAAAUCAAUUGAAAAUAUUUGAAUGUGUUGCAAAUUGGUUUGAAGAGAGCCAUAAGUUAUCCGUAGAUGUUUAUGUGUGAGAGUGUACAGGUAAAAGUCAUUGUUAAAUCUGAAGGCACUGUGCAAGUGAUUCAUAAGGUUUCAAAUGCAAGUGCUUGUUAAAUUUGCAGGUACAAGUGAUGGCUAAAUGUACGUGCCAGUGCUUGCUGAAUUGUUAGAUUUACCAGUACAAGGGGCCUGUGAAGUUUGCAGGUACAAGCAUUUUGCUAAGAUUACUGGUACAAGUGGCUGUUGAAAUGCUGAUACAAGUGACUGAUAGAUGCAUAGGCAUGUGUGUUAAUGGAUGAAGUUAUGAUAAACAUCUGUUAUCUGUUACAGUCAUGUCCAUCUACUGAACUUUUAACAGUUAGCUAUAUGUAGUAUGUAGC